RNAcentral lists this long non-coding RNA (541 nucleotides) under Ananas comosus (pineapple). Its description in RNAcentral is "long non-coding RNA (ACOM_LNC015697)". Lineage: Eukaryota; Viridiplantae; Streptophyta; Magnoliopsida; Poales; Bromeliaceae. The record is from RNAcentral.
UUUAUUUUACAUAUAUUUCAUAAAAUAUUAAUUGUAAAUAGUAUCUUAUAAAUAUCAUGAAUAACAAAUAUAUUUCUAUAAAAAUUGUAAAGAUAUAUUUCUAUAUACUAUAUAUAUUUCUAUAUUUAUAUAAAGUAUAAAUUUUUAUAUAUCUCUAUAUUUCUAUAUACUUUAUAUAUUUCUAUAAUUUUUUUACAUAUACUUUAUAUAUUUCUAUAUUUAUAUAAAGUAUAAUUUUUUAUUUUUAUCUGUGUAAAAAUUGUAAAGAUUAAAAUAUUAUUUCACUUACAUGCUGUUAAAAAUAAACUAUAUUCUAAUGAUAACAAAUCAUAUAUAUCACUGGACAGAAAUAAAAAUAAAAAAUUAAGCUUUAUAAGAAUAUAUUUACUAUUCGAUAUGUUUAUAAAAAACUAUAUGUAAUUAACCCUUUUAUAAAUGUAUACCAACCACAUAAAUUAUACUACGAUGAUAUUUAAUAUGCAAUUUCACCUUACUAACUAUUAAUCUAGAGCGCACAGUAAAUAUCAAAAAUCAUCUUUAU